UGCCAGCAGUCGCGGUUAAACCAAGAAAUUAAGUUAUAUAGUAAUGGUAAAAAGACAGUUAAACAUAUUUUACAAGUUUUUUGAUAUCUUAUAAAAAAGUAAAAUUUGUAUAUAAGUAAAUAAUUUUAUAGAAACUAAAAAGUUGAAGCUGUGAAAACCUGGAGGGAAACUGGGAUUAGAUACCCCACUAUUCCUGGCUGUAAAUUAAAACUAAAUUUACCAGAGUACUAUGAAUAUAAAAAAUUUAAAACUCAAAGGACUUGGCGGUGUUUUAGACCACUUAGGGGAACUUGUCUCAUAAUCGAUAAUCCACGUUAUACCUUGCCUUUCUUUGUUUUCAGUUUGUAUAUCGUUGUCGUCAGGUAACUUUUAAAAAAAUAGAAGUUAGCUAAAAAUUGUAAACUUAAACGUCAAAUCAAGAUGCAGCUAAUAGAAAGGAGAAGAUGAGUUACAAUUAUUUUAUUUAUAACUACGGGAAAUCAUAAGAAUUGAUGAUUGUAUAAGGAGGACUUAAAAGUAAAUUAGAUUAUAUAAAUAACUUGAAUAAGGCUCUGAAAUGUGCACACAUCGCCCGCCACUCU
Molecule: ribosomal RNA, 581 nt
Filed under: Turris undosa
Lineage: Eukaryota; Metazoa; Mollusca; Gastropoda; Neogastropoda; Turridae
Description: partial 12S ribosomal RNA
Source: RNAcentral